RNAcentral lists this long non-coding RNA (3555 nucleotides) under Aquila chrysaetos chrysaetos. Its description in RNAcentral is "lncRNA (ENSACCG00020013631.1)". Lineage: Eukaryota; Metazoa; Chordata; Aves; Accipitriformes; Accipitridae. The record is from RNAcentral.
GGUCUGGGAUGCUCUCACUGAUGGCUUCGUCCCCCGGGGCUCCCCCCGGCCCUGGCUGCUCCCAGGGGCUGAGGCCCCCGACGGCACCGACCCCCAGGUACGGCUGUGGCCCCCCCCCCUUGGCACCCCAACCCCACCGCAUCCCUGCAUGACCCCUGGGCGAUGCUUGACAGCUGUCAAUCGGCCCCAAGGCUCAGCGACCAUCAGAGCACUGCCAGCUACCCAAAAAUGGUAUUUUGGGGGUGACACAGCACCAGUGCAGUGCAUGUCCACAUUUUAGGGUUAAACCACACUGAAAUGGGCAAGAUUAAGCGUUUGGUUUGGCAACCUGUUCUUUGCCAAUUUGCCCCCAAGCCAGGGGUAAGGUCGUGUAUUUUUGGGGGUAGAAAAUAGUGUUUUCUUCAUUGUAGUGAGUUCAUGCUGUGAAUAGCUGCAGUUGGGGUUGUGGGAGGGCUGCAAAGAUGCUUCAAAAUCGACUGAAUUUAACCUGUUUGGAUAUUACGCAACCUGUUGAUAAAGGGGAAGAGAAGGUAAAUUUCUUGGGUUAUUUUCUGCUAAAAAGGUGAAAUAGCCUGUGAAAAGUGGUAAAAAAGAAGAUGCCUCCCUGUCCAACGUCUCCAUCCAACAUGUCCGUCCAUGACCUCCCCAUCCAGCAUUCCCCUCUGACAUCUCCCCGUCCGAUGUCCCCAUCCAAUGUCUCCAUCUGACCUCUUCCCCAUUCAGCAUCACCAUCCAUCAUGUCCCCAUCCAACAUCCCCAUCAAUUCCAUCCAGCAUCUCCAACACCUCCCCAUCCAAUGUCACCAUCCAAUAUAUUAAUUCAAAUGACUCUCCACCCAACAUCUCCAAUAUACCUGUACUUCUCCCUGUCCAACUUCCCAGGUUCAAUGUCUCCAUCCAACAGCUCCAUCCAGUGUCUCCCCAUCCGACAUCUCUACCCGUCUCCUUGCCACACCUCCCCAUCCAACACUUCCCUGUCCAUCAUCUCCCUCUCCAAUGUCUCCAGCAUCCCUGUGCAAAGUCCCUAUCCGAAGUCCCAUCCAACAUUUCCCCAUCCAACAUCUCCAUCCAUCUCUAUCCAGUGUCCCUGUCCAAUAUCCUUCCAGCCAACGUUCCCAUCCAAUGUCUCCAUCCAACAUCCCCAUCCAAUGUCUCCACCCAAUGCCACCAUCCAAUGUCUCCCCAUCCAGUGUCUCCCUGUCCAGCGUCCCCAUCCGUGUCUCCAGCCGAUGUCUCCCCCUGCAAACCCCCCCCACCCCAUGCAGCAUGUCCCCUAGAGCUGUGGUUCCCUGGUGGCUCUCCCUGUGCCAGGGCCAGGGCCGUGUCUGUGUCCGUGCUGGGGCCAUGCCUGUGCCGGGCCGUGCCUGCGGUGCCACCAAGGCGGCCCAGCCUGUGUCUCCUGCAGCUCUGCGAGAAGGAGGAGGAGGAGGAGCUCACUGAGAGGAGUGAGCAAGACUCGGGCAUCAAUGAGGAGCCGCUGCUGACAGCUGAGCAGGUCAUCGAGGAGCUGGAGGAGCUGAUGCAGAGUUCACCCGACCCCGAGGCUGACCCUGAGGGUGAUGAGGAUGAAGAAGAAGAGGAGGAAGAAACUGAGGCCGAUGCUGAAGGCGAAGGCGGCGGCAGGGGCACAGAGCCCAUCCUUCUGCGUGAGCUGCAUGCUUUCUCCCCUGCCUUCAACAACAACUGCUCCCAUGAAGGUACGGCCAGCAAAAUCCAGGCCACUCACUCUCUGGGGACAAUUCCAACCAAAUUGGACAAUUGAGCCUCUCCAGGCUUCAGGGCCGGCUUGCUCCAGUGUUUACGCAGUUUGGCCAGGAGGGGGCUCUUGGCAGAAAAUCAAUCCCACGGAUAUCUUGCUUUCAGCGUUGCUUUAAAUGCACCCAGGGUUUAGCCGAGCGCGCCAUGCGUUUUGCGAAAUGCCUUGCUCUAAAUGCAUUUUGCUAAAUGCAUUGCGCCUUUCCCUAAAGCACUCGGCAUUUUGCAAAACACACCGUGCCAUUCAUUAAAUGUACUGUGCCUUGCACCGACAGUGUUGUGCACCAUCCUUUCUCCAUGCACACUGAGCUUUUCACUACGCUUGCCCAGCAUUUUGCAAAAAUGCCUGGUGUGCUUCGCAUUUUGCUGUUUGCGCCCUGCAUUUCAGGAAGUGCGCUUUCUUGACAGCACCGUGCCUGGAACUGAAUGUGCUGGGUGCUUCACCAAGCCAUGCACCGUACAUAUUCCUAGCUGCACUGUGCAUUUUGCUGAGUGUUUCACUCCUCUGAAUGUACCGACUGCCACUAAUGCACGGCGCGCCAGGCAUUUUCCUGAUUCCACCAUGGAUUUUCCUAAGUCCGUGGAAAAUAUGGUGGUGGUUUUCACUAAUUGCGUUAUGCAUUUCCCCAAGAGCACCAUGCACGCUGCUAAGCGCACCAUGCAGCAUGCAGUACAUUUCUCUACAUUCACUGUGCGUGCCACUAAAUGCACCAUACGCUAGACUUUUCACUAAUGGCGUGGUGUGUGUCACUAAUUGCCCCAGGCAUUUUACUAAUUGCUCUGUGCAUUCCCCUAAUUGCACAGUGCAUUUCAUUUAUUGCACCAUGCAUGUCACUAAUUGCACCAGGCAAUGCUGCACUUGCUCUGGGCAUGUCAUUUAUGACUCUGGGCAUUUCAGUAAUUGCACGCUAUUUAUUUGUUGGUGGUCCAGUAAACGCACCGUGCAUCCCAUUAAUCAUGAGAUGCAUUUUAACAGUUUCAGUGUGCAUUUCAUUAUUUGCCCUGGGAAUUUCACUAAAUGUAGUGUGUGUUCAGUUGCACCAUGCAUGUCACUAAUUGCACAGGCAUGUUACUAAUUGCAUCAGGUGUUUCACUUACGCACUAUGGAUUUCACUGAUUGCUCCAGGCAUGUCACUGAUUAUAUCGGUCAUUUUACUAAUUGCACCAGGAGUGACACUAACUGCACCAGACCGGACAUGUCACUAAUUGCACUGGGCAUUUUACUAAUUGCACUGGGCAUGGCACUAACUGUACCGAGCAUUUCCCUAGUUGCCCUGUGCCUUGCACUUAUUGCACUGGGUGUUUCACCAGUUGCACCGGGCGGCACACUAAUUGCCUCCCGUGUCGUAAUAAUUGCAGUGUGCAUUUCACUAAUUACGUAACGCAAUGUUCCAAACUUCAGUGGGCAUGUUGCUCGUUGCACUGUGCAUGUCACUAAUUGCACCAGGCAUUUCAUUUAUUGCACUGUAUGUUUCACUGAUUGCACCAGGCGUCCCACUAAUCGCCCCCAGCACCUUCAUAAUUGUGCUGUGUGCCUCGCUAGUUGCAUAAGGUAUUUUGCAGGCUUCAGCGUGCGUUACGCUAACUGCACCGGGCGUCCCGCUAAUUCACCAGGCAGCGUUCCCUAGUUGCAGUAUGCAUUGCACUUGCUGCACUGGUGCCUCACCAGUUGCACCGGGCAGCCCGCUGAUCACCCCGCGCAUCUUAACGACCGCAGCCUGCAUCGCGGUAACUGCGGAAAGCGUUUUGCAAGCCUUAGCGCGCAUUUUCCUAACCGCGCCGGGCUUCUGCACGAUCGCUC